This 638-nucleotide ribosomal RNA is filed under the name uncultured bacterium. RNAcentral's name for it is "bacterial SSU rRNA". It matches the Rfam family "Bacterial small subunit ribosomal RNA", at positions 378 to 1007 of the family's 1533-position model. The record is from RNAcentral.
GGCACCUGAUCCAGCCAUGCCGCGUGCGGGAAGAAGGCCUUCGGGUUGUAAACCGCUUUUGUCAGAGAAGAAAUCCUUUGGGCUAAUACCCUGAGGGGAUGACGGUACCUGAAGAAUAAGCACCGGUCUAACUACGUGCCAGCAGCCGCGGUAAUACGUAGGGUGCGACGCGUUAAUCGGAAUUACUGGGCGUAAAGCGUGCGCAGGCGGUCAUACAAGACAGAUGUGAAAUCCCCGGGCUUAACCUGGGAACUGCAUUUGUGACUGUAUGGCUGGAGUACGGUAGAGGGGAGUGGAAUUCCGCGUGUAGCAGUGAAAUGCGUAGAUAUGCGGAGGAACACCGAUGGCGAAGGCAGCUCCCUGGACCUGUACUGACGCUCAUGCACGAAAGCGUGGGGAGCAAACAGGAUUAGAUACCCUGGUAGUCCACGCCCUAAACGAUGUCAACUGGUUGUUGGGAGGGUUUCUUCUCAGUAACGAAGCUAACGCGUGAAGUUGACCGCCUGGGGAGUACGGCCGCAAGGUUGAAACUCAACGGACUUGACGGGGACCCGCACAAGCGGUGGAUGAUGUGGUUUAAUUCGAUGCAACGCGAAAAACCUUAACUAUCCUUGACAUGGCAGGAAUCCUGUAGAGAU